Molecule: ribosomal RNA, 250 nt
Filed under: uncultured bacterium
Lineage: Bacteria
Description: partial 16S ribosomal RNA
Rfam family: Bacterial small subunit ribosomal RNA
Source: RNAcentral
UACGUAGGGUGCGAGCGUUAAUCGGAAUUACUGGGCGUAAAGCGUGCGCAGGCGGUUCGUUAAGACAGAUGUGAAAUCCCCGGCUAACCUGGGAACUGCAUUUGUGACUGGCGAGCUAGAGUAUGGCAGAGGGGGUAGAAUUCCACGUGUAGCAGUGAAAUGCGUAGAGAUGUGGAGGAAUACCGAUGGCGAAGGCAGCCCCUGGGCCAAUACGUGACGCUCAUGCACGAAAGCGUGGGGAGCAAACAGG